RNAcentral lists this long non-coding RNA (296 nucleotides) under Fukomys damarensis (Damara mole-rat). Its description in RNAcentral is "lncRNA (ENSFDAG00000021824.1)". Lineage: Eukaryota; Metazoa; Chordata; Mammalia; Rodentia; Bathyergidae. The record is from RNAcentral.
CAACUUUUCCUCUUUCUCUGCUGAUUAUUUCAGGUCUCUUGUACUGACUGCAGUUGGGAGUGCCGUUUCCGGUUGUGUGGUUCAUGCCCCAGUGAUUCUGUGUACGUUCUCUCUUCGCUCUGAUAAUGUGGCAAGUUAUUCGGAGCAUGAAGACCAGCAACACAACAACAGUUAGAAAAACAGUACUGAGGUUAUUGGCAUGGUUACUUCUAUACUGUCUGCCUUUGAGAAUACUGUCCACCAAACACCAAGUUACUAAAUGGAGAAAUUAUGAAUAUCAGUAAUUUUGACAUUAU